This 296-nucleotide ribosomal RNA is filed under the name uncultured bacterium. RNAcentral's name for it is "partial 16S ribosomal RNA". It matches the Rfam family "Bacterial small subunit ribosomal RNA", at positions 775 to 1067 of the family's 1533-position model. The record is from RNAcentral.
GGAUUAGAUACCCUGGUAGUCCACGCUGUAAACGAUCGGUACUAGACUUGAUGAGAUUUGACCCUUGUCGAGUCGGAGCUAACGCAAUAAGUACCGCGCCUGGGGAGUACGGUCGCAAGAUUAAAACUCAAAGGAAUUGACGGGGGCCCGCACAAGCGGUGGAUCAUGUGGUUUAAUUCGAAGCAACGCGAAGAACCUUACCUGGAUUUGACAUCCUCUGACAUCCAUAGAGAUAUGGCUUUCGUAGCAAUACGACAGAGAGACAGGUGCUGCAUGGCUGUCGUCAGCUCGUGCCG